GCGCCUAUAGCUCAGUUGGUUAGAGCGCUACCUUGACAUGGUAGAGGUCCCCAGUUCGAGUCUGGGUAGACGCA
This 74-nucleotide transfer RNA is filed under the name Glaciecola punicea ACAM 611. It matches the Rfam family "tRNA". Rfam says of the family: Transfer RNA (tRNA) molecules are approximately 80 nucleotides in length. Their secondary structure includes four short double-helical elements and three loops (D, anti-codon, and T loops). Lineage: Bacteria; Pseudomonadati; Pseudomonadota; Gammaproteobacteria; Alteromonadales; Alteromonadaceae. The record is from Rfam by way of RNAcentral.